CCUACGGGUGGCAGCAGUGAGGAAUAUUGGUCAAUGGACGAGAGUCUGAACCAGCCAAGUAGCGUGAAGGAUGACUGCCCUAUGGGUUGUAAACUUCUUUUAUAUGGGAAUAAAACGUUCCACGUGUGGGAUUUUGUAUGUACCAUAUGAAUAAGGAUCGGCUAACUCCGUGCCAGCAGCCGCGGUAAUACGGAGGAUCCGAGCGUUAUCCGGAUUUAUUGGGUUUAAAGGGAGCGUAGGUGGAUUGUCAAGUCAGUUGUGAAAGUUUGCGGCUCAACCGUAAAAUUGCAGUUGAAACUGGCAGUCUUGAGUACAGUAGAGGUAGGCGGAAUUCGUGGUGUAGCGGUGAAAUGCUUAGAUAUCACGAAGAACUCCGAUUGCGCAGGCAGUUCACUGGCCUGCAACUGACACUGAGGCUCGAAAGUGUGGGUAUCAAACAGGAUUAGAUACCCGGGUAGUC
Molecule: ribosomal RNA, 460 nt
Filed under: uncultured bacterium
Lineage: Bacteria
Description: partial 16S ribosomal RNA
Rfam family: Bacterial small subunit ribosomal RNA
Source: RNAcentral